GGAAGAGGGAGAACGAGGAGCGGUGGGAGGAUGGAAUUAGUGUAAGAAGAAGAAAGGAAAACGUGGUUGAGAGUAGAGGUAUGCUGGGAAAUUAGAGAGUAGGAAAGGGAGACCUGUGGAGUGUGCAUGGUGGGAAUUACAUAUAGGUUGCCGUAAAUUAGUGGUUGGCAAGGGAAAUUUACGGUUGUGUGUUUGUAAAUUGUUACUGAGUACCCUAUAGGGGGACGCCGACAUUGGUGGUCACGAAUAGAGAGAGUAGGUUGGCCACCAAUAAGGUGUUAGUCAAGAGAUCCCGACGGACAGGGGGCUCGGUCACCUAUAUUGGUGACGGG
This 332-nucleotide long non-coding RNA is filed under the name Carica papaya (papaya). Its description in RNAcentral is "long non-coding RNA (CPAP_LNC016316)". The record is from RNAcentral. Lineage: Eukaryota; Viridiplantae; Streptophyta; Magnoliopsida; Brassicales; Caricaceae.